GUGUGAAUGCAUGUUGUUUCUGGAAUACAUCAUAUUCAUUUGCAGAAACCCUGUGUAUGGAUCUUCAACACUUCUUUUUUUGUCUUCUUUUCCGAAGUACCUAAAAUAAUAGCUUUUUAAGACAGUCUUACGAUCACAUAACUUGUUGGAAAAAGCAUACCAUGGCUCACAAUCUGAAUUAAACAUUGUCAUUGUGGUAUAGAAGAAGGUGCAUGCUCAGGAGUUGCUAUCUGACUGAGUUGCUGAAGACAGCGAGUCACUGACAGAGGAGUAGGAAUUAUCAAAAGAGAAGUGUCUGCCACCCUGUUUCUUUUGUGCUAACCACCAACAGCUGGAGACCAGGCCAAAGAGAGGCAAGAGAAGCACGUCUCAAGGAAGCAUGUGCUUAAGCACGAAGAUGAACAAAGCUUCCAGGGCUAUUCAAAUCAGCUCUGGCUAUACCAAGUCCAUGCCUAUCCAUUAUACUUUCCAUAUAUUUUAAUAAAUUCAAAGAGAGCUGCUGAGAUUAAAGGGAAGAGCUUUGUGGUGGACAACUCGAAAUGAACAGGCUCUUCCUGCUGUGCAAGGCAGCGACUUGCUGAAGAUGGAGCCUGCACAUCAAAGGAGAGGAUCAUAAGGAUUCUGCCAGGUUUUAAUGCAACAUACCGGCUAUUUUGACUUGGUCGUCUUCUAAUCAAACUGGAGAUGUUUAGCUAGAAACUCCUUUCCCUGUUAUUUCAAACAUAGCCCAAGCACAGCUCCAGUGUCUGCUGAGGAUAGGUUGGGCAUGGAUGGGAGAGAGCUGACCCUACCUCGAUUUGUUGUGUUCCUUCCUUAUCUGCCCAUUCUAAUGGAAGUCUGCCACACAUCAUGGAUGCAAAGUGUGGAGCAUCAGAUGUUCACAGCUUCCCAUUGUGAAGUGAAGGUGUUGGGACCACUUUGUCUUCAGGACUGGACCAACGCUUUAACUACAAGAAAGUGUCAGAUAUGCGGGAUGAUGAUGCAUGGAAAGAAGAAAAACAUUCCUGAGUCAUCCUGUUUCCUGAGCAUAAGGAGGCACAAGAUAGUAAGUGUUGGAUUUUCAUCCUACCUUUACAUUCUGUGAUGGGGCACCAUUGCAAGCUCUCCUUACAAAGCUUUGAGCAGAGAGAUUAUCAGAACCAUGAGGUUUGUGGUGUAUUCACAACGGAACAGGCAGCUUAAAAAAGGAUGUACUAUUUGAUCAGCAGUUUCCUGCAUAUGGAAAUCUUAGGUCACCUUGCUGUUCCUUGAUGUCUAAAAUCUGCUAUCAGGCUUCUGCAAGGAAAUAUAGAUUAGUAUUCAGUGCCUUGUAGUAUUCUUUUAUUAAUAUUACUAUUUUUCAAUUUUAAGGACAAAAACAGCAGAACAGUGCUGUGAUGACAAGAAGCUGAGUGCUGAGCCCACGCAGGGCACUGGGGAGGGUCACUGGGAGUGAGUCAGGUUGAUGUCUGCUGAGAUGGUUUUGUUUGCAGUGUUUUCACACGUGUAUUCAAUAAGGCUUUUGUUUUACUGAAAGGAAGAGACACUAUACAGCAUUAUCCCGAUUUUGAAGUGACAGUGCCAAGGGGACUUCAGUAAAGGAUUUGAUGGCAAUUGAAUCUGAAAAGUAAAGCUUUGUAAUUGCUUAGUUAGUUUUGAAGUAAUGCUUAUAUUUAAGAUUUAUGUACAAAAACAGGCUAUAUCAACAGUAGUGAAGUGGUUUUGGGCCAAGUCUUUUUUAAAGCAACUUAUGAACAGAAGGUCAUUUCAGAUUUCUUUCUUCUCCUGAAAAGACACAAACACAAAUCCCACCUCGCUGUGUUCGUAUAAUAUGUAAUACAUCAUUAUGCUGCAUUUAGUAAGUGCUUGUACUUCCACAAGAAUAUCUGAGCUUUACUCUUGAUUAUAGUAAACUUCCCAAUGCAAGUAAAAGCAAUUAUUAUCCUCAGAGUUUCAGUGACCUGUUAGGAAGACAUAAGCUGUUACAAGACUUCUGAAGGCUCAUCUUACAGUCUGUAAAUCCCACCUUAAAAAUACAUAAUUUGGAGACUAUUGAGUCCUCUGAUGAUACUAUGGUAUUGAAUCAUCUUUAUAUAAUUGUGCUGGUGAAUAUAAAGUAUCAUUGUUUUCAGCAUCUUUCAUGAAAGCUGUUUUGACCUUCAGAUUAAAGGAUCCAUAUGGAUUUCCAAAUGAAAAAGUUGGAGCUCCUGUUUAAAACUUGAACUCCAGCUCGGCAUGAAGGCAUCAGAUGUGCUUCCACUUGAAAAAGCGUUGUUGUACCAGCAUAUAUCCCGCCUGAAUUUUUCUCCUGGGUAAAAUCUUAUAAAUGUGUGUAUCGUGCAUAAUGAGGAUUGGAGGUUAGCCGCUUCCAGUGAAUUCCCUUUCAAAGUGUAAGGAAGAUGCAGAGCAGCAAGGAGGAGAAAUCCAUUGGUAUUUGAGCUCUGUAGGAUGAAGAGGUUUGCUGCUGGGGGAAGAUCAAGAGGAGGCAGUAGGAAUAUUUUGGGCACUUCUGAAGGAGAGAUGGAGACCAUCUGGUAGAGAGGAUGCUUAAAGGAAAAGUGCCAGGACAGAGAUAAAAGUAAAGGGAAAGGAAAUAGUGACUGAGUAACAUCAAAGAGUGAGGCUGACUAUAGAGCAAAAAGGAAGACAUAGCAGUGACCCAACAUAGGCAAAUCAUAAUACAAAUGGUGGCACUGGGCGACGAAUCCAUAUGAAUCGGUGAAGGCUCGGGGGAAAAGCUCAGCAUUUUAAUUUCAGGAAAGUCUACAGGAAAGUGGUGUUGACAUCUUUGGAAGGCUUAUAAUUUAAAACUGAUGCAGUAAGCAGGGUUCCCGCUGCUUCAGAAAUACUGUCCUGGAGUCUAAUCCAGAUACUGUAACUACAGCAGAAUUUUAAAUGGAGAGAUGCCAAGAAGAAUGUUUCUUCCCUCAUCGGCAUCAGCAUCUUUUCAUUUGAAUGACUUUUAGGGCAUUAGAUGUUUCCGUUGAACUGCUUUCUAAGGCUCGUGUCCUGAAGCAUUGGUUGGUGUGUGGUCCUUCCCUGUGUUGAGCUGGAGCCGAUCUCAUGUAAAGAAAGGAAGAUGCUGGUUUUGCUUUUCUCCUGCUGAAGGAGAAUAACUUUGGGCCAGUCCCUUUCUCCUGCCAAAGUCUGAAAAACUUUUCUGUCAUUGGAAUUCCACUGAGAGUGGAGCAGUGGUAAGCCCCGUGGCUUCUAUGGGUAGAGCAGUACAGGCUAAGAGAGUCUGAUCAUCUCUUGUGCUUUGUUUUACGCCCAACCCUAAACAUGGUGAGUCAGGACAGGCGAUGGGCCUAAUUAUAAAGACUGUCUGUGCUCCUGCCUCUCUUACUCCUUCCCAUCUGUAUUUAGGAGGACUUUCUGCAUCCUAGGGGAACCGUGCUUUAGGAGGAUUUGAGAUCAAGGCCUGAAAUAAUCUCAUGGUUUUCUUCCUGCCUGCCUUUCUUUCCUUCUUAACAAAACAGGUGUGUUACUUUUUUUACUGAAGUCGGUCCAAGGAAAGGAAAAGAAGAAAGUACUUCCAGAGGGUAAUUAGUCCCAUCUUAAAACAAGUGUGUAAGACAGGUAGGAUAAGUCUCUCUCUGAAAGUGCCAAUCUGUCACCACUAUCUAUAGAAGGAGCCUUCACGAGUAGCUUAGAGUAGGUGUUUGACUUUUACACAGUUAAAUUUAGAGGAGAUGAUUGCCACUUUUUAAGUCAGUCAAAGUGCUUGUUUAUAAUUGAUUAACCAUUAUAGACUGAAGAGUUGUGAGAGAGAACAAAAGUAAAAAUAUAAUGCCAUUGAUAGAGAUAUCGUGUAAUACGGAAUAGCAGUAACAGCAAUUGCAGAUGGUUAACAUUUUCAUUCCCCAUUGUUUUUAUUUUACUGUUAAAUCUUCCCAGAUUUUAGGUCUUGUUUGAUCCUGUAGAAGGAAAAAAUUUCCCCUGCUUUAGUGUAAGCAAAAAACUGCUGAAAUAUUUGUAGGAUUAAGAAGUGAUUUGUCCUGGAAAUGUCAAUUCUUAUAUGUAGGGUCAUUAAUCCAUAAAAUGAAUUUGCAAACAUUUCUAAGUUCCCUUUCGUGUUGUUGGUGUUUUACUUGACAUGCUUCUGACUGCUCUCUCAAUGAAGGCUGCACUCAGAAGAUCCUGCAAGGCGUACACUGACAGUGUGUGGGACUUGGUUUUGCAUGUGUCUUGACCUGGCAUAUACAGUCUGUUACAAUGAAAUAAACUCACUUGUCAUUUAAGAGUAUUAAUCAUAUUUCAGGCUGUUGCCCAAGAAUUUCAUUGUGUACAAUGCUUUCACCAGCCAGAACCAUACUGCAGAAAGUAAAUAGAUAAAAUCACUUUCUCUAGUAAAAAUAAUUCUUGACUACAGCCUCGCUUGCAGAGUAGAUAAUGCUUGUAGAAAUGGCAGAUGCUCUGAAGGUUUGGAGUAUUGUGACAAUAAGAAUUUUAAACAAAGUUGGAAAAAGCAGAUGGUAUAUAUGGACGGGAAAUCCUGUGGUAGUUUUGAUUUUAUGCAAGGAAAAGAAGGAGUUCCUUAGGUCCAUAAAUCUGUUUGUUUGCAGUACUCAAACAGAGAUUUUCAUGAUCUUAGCUUUCCUUUCUUCAAAACGUUGCUUUCAAGUACAGAUGGGCCUAUAUACCACAAGUUUGGGAUCCAGAUUGGGGCUUGGACCUGACAUUCAUCAGAGCAUAAGCAUAUUUGAACCUAGCAUUUGAGGUCAGCCUCUUGUGGAGUUAACCACCUACUGAUUGAGUAGAUCUCUCCUAUAUGUCAAGGCAUAGGUGUAGAAAGUACAAUGAUUUUAUUUAACUUGAUCUGUAAGGUAUUUAAAUUUAAUUUGGAAGACUUCUCAUGAAGCAGGAGGCUGUAUUUAUAAUUAUUAUUGUGUCUGAAGGGUGAAAUUACAUAUGACAAUUAAAUAUGGUGGAUAUUAUAAUAAGAUACAUGCUUAAAGUGGUUUCCAAUCUAAAUGUGUUUGAAGUCAAUAGGAGUACCUACGGCAAAGUAUUCGGAUCCUGAUUUAUAAUCUACCACUUUUACCCCAGUAUGGUUAUUUAUGGAUAAAUUGACCUGUUCCUAGAAUAGAAUAUGAUAUGUUAGUAAAACUGUACGCCUAGGUGUGGAAAGACAAUUAGCCUAUAAACACACUGACUUCCUCUUUAGGUUGAGAACACCUCAUAUUUCCAAGACUAAUGGUUUCUAAUCUGUUUUUAAAUGUUCCAUUUGGAUAGUGAAGGCGUAACUAUCAAAACACUGUAAAAUCAUAAUGCCUGUGCAGCUAUAAAUUACUGUUUUCAAAAUGAGCUGGAGGUCUCCAACUUAUUCCCAAGUGCAGAAAAGUUAGAUAACAUAAAACUGCUCAGAAAUGACUAGAAGCAACUUUUCUGGCUUUUUCCAAAUGCUAGGAAAUCGUGGAUCUGCCCACUAACUCCCUAGCAAUGCCCAUAUGGAUAGCAAUAAAGCUAGUCCCAUAAAGAAUACUUGAAUUGAUCAAAAGCAUUUCAGAUUAGAGAUCAACAGAAAGAGCUGCGUUGCUUUUUGUUUGUUUGUUUAUUUAUUUAUAUUCUGGAAAUUUCUCUGAUACAAAAAAUAUCUGACUUAUUUUUCAUUCAUCAAAUUGUGGACUGCUUCAUAUGAGAUACGAACUGCAUGACCUGCUGAUGGCGAAGUGCUGCUUCCAUGGAAGAUGCAGCUUUAAACAAUAAGAGAAAGCAUCAACCCUCUCCUGCCAUAUUUUGAACUUUGGAGUGUGCACAAGGAUGGAAAAAUACAGAAGGAUGGAAAAACACAAGGAGUGGUGGGACACAAUGCAAAGUGAGUCUGAGCUGCCUUUAACUUCAGCCUUUGCACUGUGCCAAUACACCAGGAAGAUGCAGUUUAUUCUACCAGGAAUGCUGAUAUUGCAAACACCUAUUUAAACACAGAAGUGUUGGAGGUUUGAACAUCUUUUAUGAAUACUACACCACUGUUUUAAGAAAAGACAAAUACAAGGAGGGAGAAAACAGAACCUCUGGGAUUUUUCUUUUUCCCUACAAAGUGCUAUGGGUGAAGGCUGUGGAGAAAAAUCUUCCCUGCCAGAAGCUGUGUACAGCAUGGGUUUCCCCAGUUCAGAUUUGAACCUCCCACCAGUCGUGUGACCUUCGGGCUGUGGGUGAGUCUGUGAUGACUUUCUUCUGUCUACCCAAAAGCUGCAUCCCUAAUGCAUAAUGUCUUCCCAGCAAUAUAAAAUAUCCCGGGUUGGGAUAUUCUAUGGAGAAACAGAUAUUCUGCUGUGAAAGACUCAAUGCAAUUGCAAUUUUUUGACAAAUGGAGUUUUUCUGAUCUUCCUGGGAGUUGUAGUGGCCAUAGCUGGUCUGAGUGCUCAGUGUUAUGAUGUGUUCUUCUGUGAUUGACUUGAAAUUUGUACCUGAGGGGUUUGGAGUAAGAGACUGAUGUUGGUAUUUCUUUCCUUAUGAGAUUUGGUGUUGCUCUUGUUCUUAGGAAAUCCUCACCUAGAGGCGAGAGUACCUUCAGAGAUCUAUUCCCUGCUGCUGAGCAUGGAAAUCUCAAUAACUAACUUUUUUGGAAGGGGUUCUGUUCAUAUGAGCUUUGCUUUCAUGUACUUUGGGAUUGUUUCCUGUAGUUCAGUGUUUCUGCAGUGAAGUGACAAUGCAAUCUAAGAGAUGGUCCAUCUCCCCACAGAACACCUUUCUCUACCUUUGUGCUUUCCUUUGGUCUCUAUAGUUUCCUAUUUUUUUUUUUUUUGGUAAUCUUUCAUCUUUCUCAUUUCAAGUGUCCACUAGUUUUGAUCCUUACCAAAGAGCUUAUUUUUAUUUCUCAACCCUUUUGGUCUCAGAUAAGGGGAUUGAUCUUAACACUUUGAAAUCAGCAGUCAUUUGACCAUGGGCUUUGGAGACAGUUAAGCUCCCGAGGACCAAAACAGUGAAUACAGAACAGAAGCAGCCUUGAUUUAAUAUUGUGAACCUAAUAAGCCUAAUCCUCUGCUCUCUGUUUUUUUUUUUUCUGCUUGGACAUGGCCUACUGUACAGCAUUUCAGGUUUGAGGGGCAUUGAGAGAAAUCACCGUCACUUUCCAGAGCAGACAUCAAAGGCAAACUCACUUUUCCCAUUGCUUUUUAUCUUCCUUCUAUUUCUGAUGCAUACUUCAUAUUUUUUCCAUGCUGCCGCUCCAAUUUUUGCCCACUUUUGAUUUCUCUAUUAACAUUAAUUAGGCUCAUGAGCUUGAUCACCAGGUGGGUUUUCCCCAAGCUUCCACUGCAAUACUUCCCAUCAGCAGCAGACUUGUAAGGGAAUUUUGUUAAGCUGCAGAUAGGAGCCUAAUGUUAUUGGAUACGGAGUGUUUCAGUGCUAAGUGUGUUUUAUAUCAGUUGAAUUUGCCAGGAAGCAUUAUUGGCUUGAUUAUUUUUAAGCAGACAGGCUCGAGGGCCCUUGACCAGCAUCGGGGGGCAAUGAGAGAAGAGGGCCGUUAGCCAGGGGAAUGAUUCAUACCUCUGGAGCUCACCAAGUGCUCGUGUGUCUCAGGGAAGUAGCUCUGCAUCUUCCAGCUGAGGAAAAUGCAGAGAAGGGGGGGAAAAAAAGCCCUAAAAAAAAAAAAAAGAAUGAAAGAAAGAAAGAAAAAGAGAAAAGUAAAUAAAUCCUUGGAUUCAUUUCUGGAGAAUCUCAGCGCAUGUAAAGUCAGCUGCUAGGAAGGAAGAUUGGCACACACCUUUUGGACAUUUUGUGCAUGGUUUUCCUGGGCAGGUUCUUCCAGCGUUAAGUUUUUCCUGUAUUGAAUGUUAAGUAGCAUAAAAUACGAGCUGUCACGGGGUGAGCUGCAGCUUUUGUAGCCUUUGUUUUGUGAUGAUUUGCAUAUUCAGAAUCUGCCUUGGGUCUUCUUGUUUUUAUCCUCCUUCUUUUAAAACUGCAUUUACCUGAAGAAGGGCUUCAUUCUGAGUGCACCAAAUAAGCGUUUUCUCUGCAGUUGACUUUAAUCCGACCAAAAGAAUGAACACUUGGAGCAGAAAACCUUCUUUGGGUCCUACAGGGCAUUAGAACAUCUCAGGUACUGGCUGCUGCUUUAAUAAAAGGAUAGGAUUUCCAUUUACUUCAGGCAGGCUUAAUGUAUUGUUCUUGUAGUGAGACAGUCAGAAUGAGUCAGGAGCCAAAGAAUACACUUUAUAGACACAAAUAAUCGUAAAUUCAGAAUGUCACCUUUAGGCAGAGGCAUUUUUAUUAUUGUUAGUGGAGCUGCUGAGUAGGUUUGAUGUUUUAUUCUCUUGAGUACUAAAUGUUCCAGAGUACCACAGCCCUAUCUUUAUCAGGCUCACAAGGAGGGAGCACAGCCAAACUUGCUUCCUAUACUUCUCUAUGAUUGAUAGCAGAUGGCAUGCUUUAAAAUAAACCUAUCCAUUAGCAGUCCUCAGUGUUUUUACUCAAGGCAUUUACAACUGUCUCACCCAGAAAACACAUUUGCUCCGCAAGCUCGCUUCAGUCUGCAACAGCUGUACAGGUGCAAAUCUUUCAUUAACUCUUAAACAGUGGUGAAAUAAAAGUUGCACUGUAUUUUAUUUUUAGUGGAGAGGUUGUUUCUCAAAGGAGGAGUGCAUUCUAUUAUUCUCCCUUUGCAUAUGGCAGAGGUUCAUGUUAACUGAUGCAAAGUCAGAAUAUUUUUCUUCUGUCCUCCUUCAAAUUUUUAGGGUGAGACAAAUGUGGAUGUUUGUAGGUGUACUCUAAAUGGCAAUACAAGGGGAUUGUAAGUGGGGGCUGGGAUUCCUGGGGUCGCCCAGCUCCUCACCUCAAACAGCCCUGUGGGGGGUUCCUUCAUGGUACCCCCACCACUGCUUCAUCCUGGGGCUACUUUUUUUCUGUUCAUUUGGAAAAUGCAGGGUCACACACACACACACAGAUAUGCAUUCAACCCGAUUCUGAGCUCCCUUCUCAGUAAAUACAUUACUAAAAUCUGUCCCUGUAUUCACUUUACUUUGCUUAGAUUUCUAUGCAGUAGCCACAGAGGAUAUUAAAAUUGGCCUGGCAUUCCUGCCAAUACAACGAACCCUCAAGCACCUCCCAAAACAUUAGUGCACCAGCAGAUAGACCUUUAAAAUAUUAGUAGCAAACCUUAAAUAUUAGCAUUUAGCAUUAAUAUUAGACAAGACCUUAUAAUAUUAGAGCCAGAUAAAACAGUAUUAGCAGGGGUAUAGGAGUCAUUAAGCAGAAUAACCAUCACUGACUAAAUGGAUGCUGAAACUUUUACAUGCAAACCAGUGUAGAUGAUAGGGACUUCAGAGAGACGAGAGGAUCCUUUCAUUUAAAAGGAGGUUGUAGAGACGAAGGUUAGGGAUUUGAAAGCUGGUAAAUAAAACAACACAGCGGGACAAGUGAUAUGGAAUGUGCCAUCUCGUUAGCCACAAUCACGUCCCGUGUUAUUUUUCUUAAGCUGAAAAGAUAAAACAAGCAGACAGGCAAUAUUCUGUUGCAAAUAAAUGGAAAUUGGGGCAUUUUUUUGUAUAAAUCUCGAGUUGCAGGAGGAAAAUACAAAUGCGUUCUCAGCACUGAAGGUCUAUGUAGGCUAACAGAGGUGCUACAGUAAUUUGGCAGGAUGGCGUGUGGCUCGCAUGCCCUUUUGCUGGCAUGAUGAGCAAAGUCUGGGGAACCUGAGCUUGGCACCAUGAAGGAGGGGUUGAAGCAGCCCAGGGUCUACAUAGAGCAGUGCUCCGGAGAGCAGCCAUCACCAUAGCUCAUGUCAGCUCGUCCCGCGAGCACCUGGAGGAUUUGGUGCUAAAUGAGAUGGGGGGAGAAAAACAAGGCCAGCUGUAGACAUAAGAACUUUAAGAGCAUCAGUGCUUGCUUCCAGCUAAUCUCUCCUGAUGACUCCUGUAAGCAGGCGAGGCUGGUCGGUGCUGUUAAUUAUUCAAAGCCCCGCACCAGUUUCAUAGCUGAGUGGUGUAAGAGGAUGUGUAGUGUCCCCAUUUCUUAGUCUGUCUGGGGGAAAGGCACGAAACGCAGCUUCUCCUGCCAUCCCUGCCUGCCAUCCCGCUUUACAGGUGGGAAAUGUGAGCCGGAGAGAGGCUGCAGCCAUCCCCAUCCCUUGGCCAUCUGGCAUUGUGAAACCUCACCUGUCUCUGUAGGGCCUGAUUUGCUGAGUGCAGGGAAGGCAUCAGGAGAGUCAUUCUGUAUCUUAACAUAAUGAAUGCACUGCUUUGAGGUAUUGUGCCCUACACUUUUGUGUGCAGAAUAAUCCAAAAGAUAUCCAAAAUAUAUGAUAUCUCCAUUGUUAAUGCUCCAUCAUAGGAAGAAAGGGAGGGAAGGGCACAUGCUUCAAGGUUUGCAUUACGUCCACAAUGUCCUCAGGCAGUACAAACAGCACGCUUUGAGAAUUACACAUAUUUUCUCCAUUUAUCACUUGCAUUAAGACAUAGAGUGGAAAAGGGGUGGCAGUGGAGUCAUAUGCAGCAUUAAAUACAUAUUCCUUAUGUUGUUUGCUGUCCCAAAGAGGCUGCCAAGGCAUUUUAGUACAUCUUACUGUAUGAUGCAAAGCAGUUGGAAAAAAGUAGAAAAAUAUCCAUAGCAAAAAAAAAAAAAAAAAAAAAAAAAAAAAAAGCAAUAAGAUCUCUUAGAUCUGUACUAGAAACAAGUACCAGUACAAUGCUGAUAUGUCAAUUACAUGCUUUAUCUACAUACAGCCAAUGUACCUGCCAUUGCAGCUUCUUUUAGUUCCAUUAGAGAAGGCAACAUGUAUUUUCUUAUGACUUUUGGAAUUGCUGAUUGACUUUUUUUUGUGAAAUUGAGUUUCUGUUUGGAGCCCAGAUCACACAGAGCUCCUUUAGCUUGGAGGUGGGAAGUGAAACCACUCAACUUGUGUUGCGCUUAGAGAUGACUUCUCUGUUAGCUUCUUUUGGUCCACUGGUGCUGUGGGGGUGGAGGUACCCAGACUGAAAUGAUUUGCAGCCUUCCAAAGGGGAAAAGUAACUGUGCAUGGAAUAACCGUGUGUAAAAUAGCAUCUGCAAUGCUCAGAGUCUGGUGUGUUUGGUUGCCACUGACCUCAGUGUGGCUAUUUCCAGGAGUCAGGGUGCACAGGUGCCUAAAUAUCUACAGGCAUUGGCAUGUACCAUCCUCCAGAGAGGCUAGGAAAGGUUUUCUUAUUUCAAUGAGAGCCACAUUCAGCCUCAAAAUUAAGCAUAUUCUUAAGUGCAUAUAUGAGCUGGGGGCCAUAGAACACAGCAUAUUAAGAUACCACACAUCACUGCAAAUUAUGUAGGAGCUAUACAGUAUAAUUCAAUUUAGUAAAAAAAAAAAAAAAAAGGUCCUUUUAUCCCCCCUUCAAACCUCUUUAUUUAUUAAUGAGCUAGAAAGAUGUGACGUUAUUAAGACAUGAACCAAUUUGCCCUGGAUGCCAUCCAGCACACCAGGAACCUGUGUUGCUCUGUAAUAGCCCUUUUUUCUGAAGGAAACACUAAGUCCCAGGCCCACCCCAAGCUGGUGAGUGCUGGAGGAGGGCCUAUGGCCUGCAGAAGGGGAGGGUGGAGAGGGGCCAUGCUUAAUCCCCAGUAGAUUUAGCCUUUUGGUGAGUAAGAUGGAUUUCUGAUGUUGGCCUCCAUGCCAUUCAUAGCAGUGUUCCCAGUAGUAAACUUGUGCCUGCACUAAAAAUCCCCCUCUCAUGCCCCCACUUCCUUGCCAAAACUAAGCUCAACUAAAAUAAAUCAUAUUUUAGGAAGCUAAUUGUGCAGCCAAAUAGCAGAAAGGUAUUGAAAAACUGUUGUGUGCCUAACAUUAAAUGAAUUUACAUUGGCAGUAGGGAGCAUGCAUAACAAAAAUAAAUACAGGGACAUGGCAAAAGUGUAAGCAGUGGAAUUUAAACAAAAAAAUGUAUGUAAUGCCAAACAUUGGGAAUGGUAUUCAGACUUACUGCAGAACUAAUAUUCUAUGCAGUCACUGCACACAAUUUUUUACAGUUAAAAUACAUUCUGAAUGAAGUUUGCUCUUUUAUCAGUUUAUUGUAUUUCUUGGAAAAUUGAAACGUGUCAGGAUAUGCAUUUUUCUCCCUGCUCCUGAAGUGUGUAUAGGUCCCUUCACCAACCUGUGGGCAAUACGUUAAGAAAAACAAAGGGGGAAAGCUCUGGCAUAGGCUGCCCUGUAGAGGGGUCACCGUCCCUAGAGGUGUUCCAGAACCGUGGGGGUGUGGCACUGAGGGAUGUGGUCAGUGGACAUGGUGGGGGUGGGUUGGUGUUGGGCUUGGGGAUCUUAGUGCUCAUUUCCAACUUUAAUGAUUCUGUGAAAAAAAUAAAAUGAGGAAGAAAAAAAAAACCCAAACAGUUUUUGGAGAAGAUUUUAGAAGUUUCCUGAUGGAUCGGCAUCCUUGAGAUUAAACAUUCCCAUAUGUAGGUUGACAUUUGAAAAUGUAAGUCUUAUGAAAGAUAAGAUGGAAAUUAUGAGAAAUGCAGCCUUAAAUAUUUGGAAGCAUGACUUCCUGGUUUGCAUGGCAGUUGGCAAAACUUUCAGGGGAAAGAUGCAUGUGGUAUAGGGCACUCAUUUGCCUAAAAGUUUCCUCCUAUCACCUAAUGUUUUGGUGCUCAUCUCUUCCACACCUUUGGAGGAGAGCUGCAGCAUCCUCUCUGCGGUGCUUUCAACCCCUCAGACAGAUGUUUUAGAUCAAUUGCUCGAAACGGAUCAGUUUAGCAGUCAGAAAACACUGUCAGAAAAGGUUUGUGGUAGAGAAGACAAAACUGUGAAAUGAAAUUGAACUUUUAUCCCCAUUUGGAUGGGAACUGUGCGUGGCUGGAGAUCCCAUGAGGAUGAACACAGUGACCUAUCGUGCUUUGAAAAACCAAACAGAUGACAGGGCUCAUCUGCAGCCAUCAAGCAACAGCAGCUUCUGAGAAAUGGUGUGACCACUAUCAUGCAGUGCAGCAGGAACUAAGGGAAAGAUAAUCAUGGGAAAGAGGAAGGUCCUCCUGCAGCAAGGCAAGAUGAUGGUGAUCUCCUGCCAGGCUACAAGUAGCACUGCUGCCCUUGCUGUGAAGGUGUGACAACACAAGGCAUGCCGUUGCUGCUGGACAUUGUUUGAGCCAUGAUUAAUGUGCCAGCAGUAAUGGGUGUCAGCAUUGUCUGGCUGCAACUGGCACACCUUAUUUCUGAGAACUCAGGGUACGGAGGCUGCUGUGGUCACUGUGGCAACCAUGAGCCCUUCAACAAGACAGAGAGAUCUCAACCCAAACCGCUAUCUGUCUGCCUCUCCCUGGGUAUGUGUCAGCACGAAUCUCCAAGUGUACUUUCUUUCCCUUAGAAGGUGUUGUGUGCUGUGUCCCGUGGUGACCUGCACAUAUGCUGAGCUGGAACUCUGCUUGGCACCAUUCCUCAGCCUAUCCAUGUUGCAGUGCAAUCGUAAUAUCAUGAGAUGGCUUGGGUUGGAAGCGACCAUAAAGAUCACAUAGUUCCAACCCCUUGCCGUGGGCUAUGUGCCCCCUACCAGCUCAGGCUGCCCACGGCUCCAACCAACCUGGCCUUGAGCACCUCCAGGGAUGGGGCAUUGUCAUGUCUCCAAUGGCAAAUGUGUUCCUAUCAUGGACUGUGCCUCUGCCCCUCCAUCACUACUGUGCCCUGCAUGCCUGUGCCACUUGCUUUUUGGUCGCAUUGUACUUUGUUUCAAGAUGUUUUGCAGCAUGUUGCCUUUGCCUGCUUGCCUCCCUCCGUCUCCGUGCUGGAUGAGUUUGCAUUGUGUGGUGUUUUCCUCUUCAUUUAUUGCAAACAAAUCUGGUCUCUGCCAUUUGUUUACUCUUAUACUCUGUCUUUAUGCCUUGGUAUGCAUUUUUAAUUAGAUGCGCUUCAGUUCUUUCGCUGCUUGUUAACACUUUCGGAUGGAAAGUGCGGUCCCCACCAGCUCUGCUAGUAUUCUCUGUGUGGAGGAAAUGCAGAUUUGUUUCUCCUGCCCCUGAUUAUCAUCCAGUACCAAGACUCGGGCCCCAGCCAGCCUGCCUGCUCAGACCCUAUGUUCCUACUGGGGAUGUUAAGAUGGUUGCCCCUUCUCAGCCAGUGUAAUUGAGGGUGCUUUACUCCAAAAUACUCUGCAUACAGAGAAGGAGUGUUUGGGCUGUUUGCUUGGACUGUUUUCAGUCCUCGUCAGCUCCAGUGUGGAUGUGUGACAUAGAGGAGUCCUGGGCAGAGCCCGCGGUGUGUGCAAAUCAGCUGCGUGCUGUCCCAAGCCCUUCUGCACACUAUGAUCAGGAGCAUCCUGGGGAUGUUGGCCACAGAAUAAACAGAGGAUGGAUGGGCCUGGAUAAGGAUACUGAAACCCCAAGCACAAGGCAGUAUUCACAAAAAGGCAUCUUUCUUGAGUGCCACUAUUGAUAAAGCAUCAUUUCUUUUUCUUAAAAAUAGUGUGAGCCCAUUUGUGCUUGUUCUAUUUUGUUCUGCUUCUGUAUCUGACUCAUGCCAUGGGCAGGGGCCUUCACCCUCCCUAGUGCUCUCCUAGACCACCAGCUUUCUGGAGAUGGUGUGGGAACUGAGAUGGAAAAUCUUGACCCCACUCCACCCUUCCCUUCCAGUUUGCCUGCCCUGCUGAAGCAUUCACUCACCUCCCUGUUUUGCCAGAAUUCGUGUGUUCACCAGAAUUUAAGUUCCUGAGAGGGAUGGCAGGACUGAAAAGAGGUGAAAAUGUCUCUUCCCAUCUCUGAGAGUGUUCCCUGACCCGACUCUCUGACUGGGGGCGAGGUUGCCAGAGGUCAAUAUCCACUUCAGUGAGUAGAGAGAUCGAUAUCUGCUGAAGCCAAUGCCCAGGAUUGUUUCCUCUUCCUUGCCAGUGCUAUAUUUUAUAGAGAACAGCCAAGAAAUAUUUCUCCUCCCUUCUAAGGAGAAGAAGGGGGAGGAAAAAAAAGAAAGAAAAAAAUGGAGAAAAAGAAAAAAGCUUUGUCUUCAUACUUUCUUCCCCCAGGAGGGCAUUGCAUUUAGCCUCUGCUCUGCUUUUUGUUAUCCAUUUGCAUGGCACGAUGUUUGCUUUGGCCAAUAGGGCAGCGCUGGCUCCUUGACUGGGGUGGGGUUCUGCCGGUACCCAGCGGUGUGCAGAAUGGGGACAUUCAGCCCUCAGCCCUAGGUAUUUUGGGGAUGCUGGGAUGCAGAGGACAUCCCAGAUGGUGCGGUUUCAUGGGGAGUGCCAUGGUGGUGGGAGCAAAGUGCUCAGUGCUGAGCCUGAGUACUCCAUGGAGCCACUCCAUGGAGCAACAUCGUGUUGGCAGGAGGAUGAGGUGUAUGAGCUAAUAGGGCUUUUCCAUUUUAAUGUCUAUUCAAAAAUGACUCUUGGUUGCUGUUCUCAAACUCAGCACCAACCGUUCCUUACACCACACAUCAGAUCUUUCUUUCUUUUCUGCCCUUUGCUUCAUGGAGAAGGCUUUAAAGCAAACAAACACCAAACUAUGAGAAACCAAGGGAAGAUGCAGACUGGCCCACUCGUUAGUGCCGGAGUGUGGAAACUAUGAAGACUUCUUUUUUUAUUACCAAUGCUGGAAAGCACAGUCACCGAGUGGGCUGGAAUACAAGUUAUGCUACACGCAGUAGUUAAAAAAACCUGCAAAAAUGGGUGUAACCCGUGGCUGUGGUACAACUGGCCUUUCAGCCCCCACUUGAGAUUCGUCCAUCCCAGGGGGAAACUGUGGUUUGGAAGAACAGUGUACAUUUAAUUUCACUCGGAGAACUUAUUGGAGUUGGCACUUCAAGAAAGACUCUGAAGUAUAUUUUUUGUCAUGAUGAGUGGCCCCCUCACCACUGCAUUUGAUUGUGUUGGAAGCAGAAAAGUUAAAUUCUUAUAAAAUGAUGAUUUACAAUCCCUGAUGAUCCAGGUAGGGCGCGCGGAUUGCGCCAGCGUGGUUAUGGGACUCCAAUCUCAUCCUCUCUCAUUGCUGUGAGAAAAUAAAACCGAAAUGUAAAAAAGCUGAAAACACAUCCUCUGAUGGCUCGGGGAAUUUUCUUACUCAUACGUUAUCUUUCCUAGUAGUUUAAGUUAUUUUGUCUCCACUAAAACCCAAAGCAAAACACUGCCCUGACACUUUCCCCUUGAUUUCUGAUCUGCGGCAGCCAAAUUUAUUUUUAUCUCGUGUCGUCUUUUCCCCCAUGGUUAUGCAAAUCCUCGGAAUAAGGGGCAAGGGGAAAAGCUAAUUUUAAAGCCAGUAAAUUCCAGUGGGAGAUUUCUUCAGUCGCUCCAAGCGGGACUAUCCUGGGUGCUGUUGCAGAGCUGUGGCUACCUCCAAAUAACACAGGGGUCUGAUUCAGUCAUAGCCUGAAACAAAUGUCAGCACCUUUACUGGAAAAUGUAGUAAACAGUGGAUUAGACAAACGAGAGGGCUGGAAAUGGGUCUGCUUCAAGUCUUACCGCAUACCUUGUGGAGUGAUGUCUGGAGAUGGUGGAGUUGUGUAUCCUCCGUUGAGACUGCCUUCAUGGCACAUUUGUUUCAAGGCAUGCAAUUGAGACGCUCGGAUACCGAUGUUCAGAGCCCUCUUCUCCUUGCUUACCUAAAUUUAGUUAAAGAGCCCUUGAGAUAAGUAGAAGUGCUGCAGCCACAGUCCUAGGGAGAAGUGUUCACCUGCUUGUUGAUUCACUGCCGGCUGUGUUCCCUGACUGCAAUCAGAGCACAUUUUCCCCUUCAGAAGUUUAGAAUCAAGGAGAAGGUAAACACAUGCCAAAUCUUGCAGUGAUGUUGGCCCGCUCCCAAAGUUGCAACAUAAUGAAGAAAACGUUCAGUUUAGAACUCUGUGCCCCUUUUUUACAACAUUCCUUAAGUUACUCAUGACAGAUGCAACUUUCCUGGCUCCAGAGGUAGUGAAAAUAAACCAUUACAUAUUGCAAAAACUUACGAAAACAAAACAACUGGAAUUCCCAUGCUAUGUCUCUGAUCUAUCUGUAACAGGCUGAAACCAAGAUUCUGAGCUGUUAUCCUCAAGGAUAUUGCAUGAGCAAGCCCUCUCUACCAUGGCAUUACUGCUUCAUCCCAGGAAUAAUUCACCUGAUGCACCCUGAGACCAUGCUGCCUUUUUCACAGGGUAAUGUUAAUGGCUAAAAUGAUCAGAUGGGAUGUGACCUUCGGCUGCCCUGGGCAGAUUCUCCUGUGAGUCAGUGGUGGAUUUGGUUUCUACAGAGCUCAGCGACCUGCACCAGUCAAUGCUGGGGACUUCUCAAAGAAAUGGUUCCAAAUUCUCCCAGUGUUGAGUUAGCAUACUCCAAGAGGAACCCACCAGUUACAGAGGGCUUUGUAUUACUGGUCCAGGAGCAAUUUCAGUGUCAAAAUUGCCCCAGGAACUUUGGGAAUAGUUGGGCAAAAUGAUGGUCACAUCUGCCACCUCUCAUGAUGUUCCAGUUGUUUACUUAUUAGUGAAGGUGACUGUACUGUGGGACUGUACAGAGCCAUGCUGGAUCAGAAAUGGAAAACAGAACCAUAGCCAGCAACAGAUGGAUAGAAGAAUUUUGGCUGGAUGUUGCACAAAAAGGUCUACGUACUCUUAGGUUUGUGGUAGAAGAGUUCUCCAAGAUGCUAAUUUUAGGUACAGUUUGAUGUAGAACAUUUGUUCUUCAAUAUCGACGACCUUCUUCAAAAGCACACAUUAUUCCAGACCUUGGGUAUGACAUAAAGGGUUAAGCUGUCCUGUUGUACGGAGAAGCCAGAGCCGCCUCACUGCUCUGUGAAAUCCAAGGAAAGCAGUGGCUCCCGAAAUGCCCUCCCUUGCCUGAACAGUUUGAAGGGAGAAAACACUUCAACUGUGGCUUUCCCAACAGCCUUUUCCUGGGAUGGAUAUUUUCUUCUACAGAAGAAACUUCUACAGAGAAAUUCUGAUACGGUCAACUAACUAGAGCAUCUGGUGUAUGCAGCUGGUCUAAGGAUUCAGCAAGAGGUGAGACCAGGAGCUGUUUAAUCACCACAAACAUGAAGACUAACCCAAGCAUGCUCUCCCUUCUCUGGAGGAAGUCAAGCAGCAGCACUGAGGCAUAAAUGUUCAAGUCCCUUCCAGACGUCUUGCCUGCUUCUGCCUUGAGUCACUAGAAAAACAAGGUGGUUUUGCUGGGUGGAGAUUUGUGUCAGAAUAACUUGCAGAACCGAGCCCUCAGUUUGCAAACGGCGGCGAACUUCAGUUCAUUAAAAGAAAUUUCAGAGGUGAGCUUCGUGAUGCUUUAAACAAUCACUGGAGGAAAAUAUUGGAGCUUUCCACCAAGGCCGUGAGCCAAGCCAGGUUCCAUCUGUGCACUCUCCUCUACUUGAGUGGUCACGUCCAUGUGCCAUUACUAAGGAUGUAUGGUGGAAUCAUGCCAAGCCUUCAACCUCACAUUUUGAACUUCUCAAUAAGAAAGACGGGGGGAUGGUUUUAAAAAGCAAAAGUCCAUGUUCUUAAGCAUCAUCCUCGCUCUUGGUAUUACUGGCAACGGCUGCCCAGGAAUCACUGUCCCUGGAGGUAUUCCAGAACCACAGAGAUGUGACACUGAGGGACACAGUGAGUGGACAUGGUGGGAGUGGACUGCGGUUGGACUUGAUCCUAGAGGUACCUCUGAGAGACAAAGGUCAGGAAAUGGGCUCCUUGCCAGGCCACGGCCACGAUCCAGGUUUUCUGAGACUGAGUACAUUCAUCUGAGCUGUUAGCUGCUACGCUCCACCGCAUCCCUGUAUGAUCUGCCUAGGCUUGGUCCCCCAGAGGAAAUUUCUGCAUGCAUACUGUAUAUGAACUUUAGAUAAAUAAAUAAACACGAGAAACAGCUUCCAGAUAAUUGAAAGCGAGUGAAGGAGGGAGCAAAAAGAAAACAAUUUCUCAGGGGAGAAGCAAGCUGAGGUGGCAGGUGCAGCCUAAAUUCAGCCAAGGUAUUUUGGUUGUUCACUACCUUCGCGUAAUUAAAUAUUGAAGCACGCUGAGCUGUGGUAUCAACAUCCGUAUGGUACAAAUACCUUUUCAGCCCAGCUGGACUCAGCUGCAUUAUCUGUGACCUGAAAAGCACACGCUCACCUUGGUUAAAUGGGGCUCGACUCAGCAAUAUUCAGCAGAGCUGCGGCGGUUCCUGGCUCUGGCCACCAAGGCUCCACAGGAUUUUCACUGCUCAGGUGUUGCAAAGCCUAAUCCUUAUUCAGGAACCAAAACGCUCCCCUCUCCUUGCCUGCGGUGCUUGGAUGCCUGCCUUUGGCAGUAGCCCCAGACUCCUGCAGAAGAUGAAGACAUCCCUCCAUGCCUAUAGAUGGAAAAGCGCCAACAUGGAUGCCAUCAGAAGGACGCAGCUGAGCAUAUGCUGAGAAAAUUGUGGCAUCCAUACUGUACAUGGGGAAGGGCUGACUGAACACACCAGUUUGUUGAAGCUUAUGGCCCUGAAAAGGAAACAUAGGUUUCCUGUAAAUGUCAUUCAGGGAUAUGCUAACUGUUAUUUCCUGGCACUGGAUCAUGAUGCUUUCAACACAUUCUGUUCCUCUACCUCUGCUGCUACCUCUGCUGCCUGCCUGCCUGGUUGUGCGCAGUGAUAGCUCUCCUGUCUUCUCACCUUUCCUCCUCCCCGCGCCAGGCAAAGGUAUUCUGGUUGGGAGGGCCAAUGUCAGCGAGCGAGAUGACAGACGGAGAGAUGAAAUCUCAGCCCUGCACUCAGCCUGGCUGCUGCCUGUACCUGGGCCUUGCUGCACCAUCCCUUGAACGCAAAGCAAUUCAAGGAAAAGAGUAACUUCUGUUACAUUAGAAAUCACGCAUUUCUGACCCAGAAAGAGAGGAAUUUCACAGUCUCUCAGGACAUGUGCUUGAAGGGAGGAUUUCUGGAGCCUAAACCAGAGGAGCCCAGGAGCUGCUGGUGUGAAGGCUCACCGCAAGCACCUGCUGCUUCUGGAGGAGUUCCUGUGGCAAUGCAUGUGCUCAGGAUGAAUAGGAAUCCAAGUUAACAGAAGGAAGAAACAACUCUUUUGUAGUAAUGCUCUGUAGGGCAUUAUCACAGCUAAUCUUAUGGUGAUUUCCUUCAGGAAACAUACCCUGGCCCCUGUCCACUAUCGGAUAGGUGAGAGUGAGGCGGUCUUUGCAGUGGUUAAGCACAAAUUUUGCAGAGAAGGGAUAAAGUGUUGUGGGCAAGGACCUGUGGGCUGAAAGUCAGAGUAACCAUGAUGCAGUGCCAUCACCCCACCUCACAGCUCAGAGUCUUGCAUAUCGCAUGGGCUGCCUGGAGCCUACACAGUUCACAGAGUGGAAAAAGGAAUUGAAGAAGCAAAAAUAAAUACUAAAGCAUGUAAGAAUUAAAUAUCACCUAUUUAAAUAGCAAUUACGCCGCUAAAAACAAGAUCACCACACCUGUACAAGAAAAGACAAGCAAGCCCAAAACAUCUGUUUGCAUCCACCUGCCAAGCACCUGUUCCGCUGUUUCAAUGCCAUUUGAUUGCUGGAGAUGUAGAGGCUCUUGUGAGGCUGGUCGUCACACAGGAAACUGUAUGCAGAGUCCAUCAGCCCAUGCUCUUCAUCACGAACUCAGUUGCUCUUUAAGACCAUCUCCCAGAGAUGAGGAAGAUGCGUUGAUCCAAACGAGACGCAGCCAAGCUUGGAGCAUCCUCUCUGCUCCAUCCCAAGGAACUCCAGGAACCGGAAACUGAACUUCAGAAUCAUGAAGAGCACUGCUAGAUGAAGACAUGGGCUGGAUACAUGUCUACCACACUAGAAGAAACUGAAAGAAUACGAUCCCAUUUGACUCCAAAAGUCUUUCUAGGCUAAUUACCAGCUCACAGAGCAGAGAAAUUAAGGCAGAGAGGGAAUGUUCAUGAUGACAACCUUUACCCAUUAGCAAGCUUUGCAUUUUCCCAAGGCUGAAGACAGUUUAGCCCUGACAAAUCCAAUCAGUGAUAUGCAGGCGUAACCUCCAGAAAUAAGCUCACAUUUUUAGGAUCCACGGGGCAAAAGAUGGACUGCAGUAAGUCACUAUGAAAAUAUUUAAAAUACAGCUUGGCCAGUGCUGAAAUGGCACAGUUGGCCUGAAGUCGCUUCAAGGUCUCCUGGCAUCUGCGUGUUUCCCCAGUGGCUUUGUGCAGUAAAGUGUUAACUUCUCCUGAGUGGUUACGUGUUUAAGGCAGUAACUUUAAAAUAAAGAACUGCAACCUUAGAGCAAAGCUGCUAUUUUGAGAAUUUUAAACCAUUAUUGACUCCUGUCAGAUCAGUUUCUAGACUUAUUGACUCAAGAAGUAAAUAUAGACUGAGAGAAAGCGAGGUCAAGUCAAUAUUUAUCUUGCAGAUCAAUACAUUUUGAUACUAACCAAAAAUUAAGCUCAAUAAAUGCAUAUAUUAUACACAGCAAGGUUAGAAGAGAUCCAUUCAGAAAAUUUGUCAAUUUGAAAUUUCCCAACGGAAUCCAACCUUUUGGAUUCAAUUUCCAUUAGAAAUUCUGUCCCUUUAAGGUUGCUUCAGUGACUGAUCACGAGCCCCCAUCACCCAAUCAGGUUUCCAGAUGAACGUUGAGUAGCAGCGAAAGGAAAAGGGAAGAAUGAUGAAGUGAGAAGAAGUUGGUCACAGGAGCUCGAUUACGGUGUUAGGAGGAGGAGAACGGAAGAGCUGGCAAGCUGAGACACUACCAGUACUUUGUGGAAACCGACAUAUGAAUUUGUUCUACAAAUGUGCCAGGGACACACUGAUCCAACAGUUAGAUCACUUCCAGAAGACACGGAGUUAGAUCUCUGAGUUCACUUCCAAUUGCUGACUACUACUAUCCAAUAAAAGAAAAAUUCUGCGUAAAGUAAACAAGGAAAAUGGAGGAGAUUCUGCUGGAAGGACAGAAGGGACAGCAAGCAUGGAGAUUUAAAUCAGAGGAAGACUGACUGUCACUGCAGAGGGGAAAGGGCAUGAGAAUGAGCACUGCAAGAAAAAAAAAUCAUCAAAAAAUUCCUCCUUCUCUGGGAUGAAUACAGGGGAGUAAAUGUGUUCCUACAAAAAUUGAAUUAUGUAGUGAUUUUAAAUAUGGUGUGAGAAUGAAGGACAUAUGAGCUGCAACGAGAGAACCAAAGAGGAAUUAUGUGAUGUGUUCAGGCUGGGAGUGUGCCUCACAUGACAACAGGAAGAGAGGAAAGGUGGAGGAAAAAAAAUGCAGAAUCGACUCUAUUCUGAGCCAUUAAUGUCAGCCAUGUUGAUGUUUUGUAGCUAGUUAUAUUUGCUGAUGGUUCCCACGCACUCAUGACAUUCAACUUUGCAUCAUCCCCUAAAAACUGGAAAGAUGUCUCUCUGAGAAUGACCUAUAGCUUUGAUAUCACCAUAACUAAUUUCCUUUUCCUAAAGUAAUGGUGCCUACUCUUGAGGAGCAGAAUGCUGUGAGCUUUUAUUUCCAGUCUGAGGACAGUUCUGUGAUAGGUGGAAUAAUGCCAGAACCUACUUUUCAUUAGAUUGUAUGAUCUGACUUUAUCUUGCAUGCUCUGUGUGGUUUGAGUGAAUAAAUCACACCAGAAUUUAUGGGGUUUUCAUCCUUACAAAUGAAUCUUCAUCAUUACUAUGUGGAUAUAAGUAUUCUUGGGCUGCAGAAGACAGUGAGACCCACCAGGGCAACACAAACUGAUGCCAACUUGCCACCUACUACUCCCUUAACCCAAAACUCCAAUGACCUGGGCCACUGAAACACUGGGAUCCCAUAGGGACCUGCCUGGCCAUUCCAUCUGGGGUUUGCAGGACAGGAUCCUGGUCUUUUGUGAAAACUGUUGACUAAAAAUUCAAUUUUCUCUUUCUCUUUUUUUCUUUUACUGUAAGAAUGGCAGAAGAGGAAUGGCCAGAAGCCACCUCCUUCUUGUUUGGACCAGCCUGCUUUUCUAAGGGCAACAAAAAGCAACAGAAGUGGUAGAGAAGAUGAAUGCAUCUUCCCUCCCUUCACAUAAAUUUGUGUUUUUUUUUUUCCUGUUGUUGUUGUUUUAUCCUUUUUUGUUUUAUUAUUUUUCCUAUUUAUUUUGCAAUUGGAAAAGUCCUGGGAUUUCAUUAACAACUUCCCAGGAUGACAGUGAGACCCUCACGACCCAGCAGCGAGUUCCAGUUCCCACCUGGGUGCCUCUGGAGAGUGACAAAUCUCUUGGAUGUGCUCUAACAUCCCAGAAGCACAGGCCAGGAACAUCUGUCUGUUCCUUCCCUUCCUUCAGACUGCCCCGAGGAGGAGGGAGGCAGGCAAGUAAUGAUACGAAAGGCAAAGGCUCAACUGGCCGUGUUACAUUAGCCAACUCAAAUAAUUCCUCUUGGCUGUGGAAACAGCCUUCCCAUCCAAAGCGGUCUUUUUUUUGUUUGUUUGUUUUUUUCCCUUUUUCCCCCCCAAAAAACAAGAACAGCUUAUUUCCAAUUUUGGGCAGGUUCCUUGGCCAUGGGCCAGCUCUCCCCACUGCCUCUCCGUGCUACUUCCCAAUGCCCCUCAAGUGACCUUACUGAAUGCCACGGGGACCAAACCUUACCGAACAGCAAAAUCAAAGUAUGCAAAUGAAGCUUGGAUUAUUACAUAUAUAAUGAUGAAAAUGUUUUUCCUAUGCUAUUGCCUGUGCCCAGCUUCCUUCCCUACCACUCUGAGUGCUUCAGAGCUGUGUAUAGCUGUUGAGCUGAAGCACCCAAGAAUGGCUCUGAAGCAGGAAGAGAGUUCAAUCUGCAGGCUGGUUUUCCAGGCACUUUCUUUCUCAUUCUCCACAAGAUAGUUGAUAUUCCUCCGGAUUUUGCUGUUAUUAUUUGGGUGUCUCUACUUCACAGAAAAGGGCAGAUGAAUGCCUUUUGCAGCCUCUUCAGUCCACUCUAGUUCUAUUUUAGGCUGAGAAGACUGUGCUGCUUGGGUAGAUGGGUGCAUUUCAUGCCAACAGCUUAGUCUUUCUGCAAAGUUAGGCAUCUCAGUUUGAAAAAAUAAGUACUAGGUAAAGCUGUUUGAAUCAGUGCAGGAAGCUGAGUUGCUAUCAGAUGUAUAUGGCAUAAAGUACGUAUCCUGAUGGGUACUCUUCUUCAAAGGAAAAGUGGUGAUGUUUACUUGUGCAUUUUAAUGAUGAGAGGAUGCGUACUGUGACACGAAAUCCUAUCCACUGUACCAGUUCAACAGCAUUUAAACACUGAAGUCUGAGCUACGCAUAACCAAUGGGAAGGAUGUGGAAGAACGCUUGCCUGAAGACACCUACUCUUUAUUUUUAUUACAAAGUCAAUUACCAUUUCAAAGCAGCCAUGUGACAUGUAUACUGUCAGGAGCCAGAUGUUGGCAUUGUGAUAUUGUGACAUUAAUUUAAAAGAAGAGUCUUUUUUUUUUUUUUUUUUUUUAAAUGCUGACUUCCCAAGGAUUAAGUUGGAUAUUCUCAAUGUAGUUGAAAAAAGAAUUUACAUUCCCCAAACACAAACAUUCUUGUUUUCUGUUUGGUUUUAUAACUCAGUCAUUUCUCUAUUGAAGAAGCACAAAACAGAAAGAACUUUUGGUUCCAGGUAGUUUCACUUCAGCUGAUCUUUCUAAAAGCAUGCACCUUUUUAGCUGUUUCAGUUAUGAAUCAUAGAAUGGCCUGGGUUGAAAAGGACCACAAUGCUCAGCCAGUUCCAACCCCCCUGCUAUGGGCAGUUGCCAACCACCAUAUCUUCUUUAUAAAGGGAAGUUUAUUAAGUAAAAUUUGGGUUACUGAGGUUUUAGCACAUGUUGCAUUGAAUCCCUUUUUUUCCCCCCUAAAUCACGUGGUUAAACUUAGUUUGGGUCUCUUACAACCAGAAUCCCUGCUGACUCCGCUCUGGUCCAGGCAGAUUGAACUGAGUCGCAACACUGCUGGUACGCGUCCUCAUCCCCAGUGCCAAGAAAAACCCUUUCCCUCUGUGUUUUCUUGUUAGCAAUACUGCUAUGGAGGCCAAGGACUGACAGUCUUUCUCUUAAUUCUCAAAUCCUCUCCUCCAACAGGGAAAAAGGAAAAAGAUUGAAAAACCUUUUGCUAUUGUUUGGUUGUUUGAUCAUAAAGGGGAACUAGACUGCCAAGCCAGCACCCCAGCAGCCCUAAAUCUAUGUGUAAAAUAUGGGCAAAAGGAGAGAAAAGAUUUAUUGUUAUUAUUAUCAUCACAGACUACCUUUAUAAUAUAUGUGUUUCACUUAAAUUAAUAUUUUAUAACUCUAUAUCAGCCUCUGCAGCCACCCAACAGCAUUUCUUAUUUAUCCAGUCGGACAUACUAAUUUGCUUUUAUCAAAAUACUUGAGAAAUAAUUGUCUUACCUCUCCUAGGACAUGCUACAGGGUUUAUUCUCUCCUUGCUAUCUACAUAGUUAUAAAUCCUCAUGCAUUGAGAGCAGAAUAGGCUUUAUGUGUCUAGCAAUUUCUUAUGAUUUCUAGGCUAUUAUCCCCAAAUCCUAAUUAACCAUUUUUAAAAAUAAUGUGGCCUUUCUACCACGUGAGAUAUACCAACAUGAUAAGAUACGAUGUGAAAGUCCCAAGUAUAAUGUAAUUCUGCUGCUUUACUUUUCCUCUUUUAUUAGAGAUUUCUAACAUAAUACUGCAUUUUCAUCCAAAGUGACAGGAUUCAGUACAUAGUUUGUAGUAUAUGUUUUGCAAACUGCCAGAACAGAGCCAUUGAAUUUAGUUUUCUAAUAAUCGUACAGCCAUACAACACGCCCGUACAUGUCAGAAACUGAAGAAAGCAAAUUUAUACACAACAACGUGUAUUUUGUGGAUAGCGAUAACCCACCCAAAUCUAAUUUAAUCAAAUAUUUAAAGAGGUAAUAAUUAAUUUUUAAAGAAUUGAAGUGAACCGUAACUAGGAGGAAAUGUUAUUGUUUAUUUUUAAUGCCAGAACUGUAUUCCUGAUGCAUUUUUAAUAUUUCAUUAAGGUGGUAACUUUCAUGGCGUAUUUUUUCAAGUUUCAUAUCUCCCUGAUUUAUUUCUUUUCUUCUGAAGAAAGGUAAAAUGCCAUAGGGAAACUUAAAGCUUAGAAUGAUGCAGUCUUUGAGGAGCUCUUCCUAAAACUUCCUGGAGUCUUUUUAAGCAGAAUUCUUCUUAAGCCUUUCUGGACAAGCAUUCUAAAACCAGAAGUCUUUUAAACAAGCUGAGGUACAGCAUCUGCUUGUGAGCUGAGCAAAGGGUUCUUCUUUCAGUCAAUGAAUGUGUUCAUCAGGUACUACUUUCUAUUCUGUCUCCAAGCUAUUACUCAUCACUCAUCAUUCUUACUUUCCAGAAGAGAUAUCUGCAAGAAUGGUUUUAAAGCCCAUUGCCUUUCAAACCUGUGUUCUGCCCUUCCUCAGUCCUUUGUUUUUUGUUUUAUCCCUUCUUUUUGAUGGAGCGUCUCUCACGUUUUUGAGCCUUUCAUACUCAAACUGUGGAAGCCUGUUUAUUUCACUCUGGCUCCAGCCCUAGUUAAAGGUGUGAACUACCAAAGUGGAAGGGGGCACAUGCACAUUAACACUGCUGUGGAAAACGUCGCCUGACAGAUGGAUGCAUGUUAAAUGGGUGUUUGAAGAAAGGUGUUUGCAAUAAAAAUCCUGAGUAUGGCAUCAGAGGAAGACCACACACAAUUUUCUACUUUUAUUUCUGUAAUAUAUAGGGGCCAGGCUAGUUCUGGUCUGCUUUAUACUGUCACUUACUCAUAUUUGCUAUUUUAUACUAAUAAUUUGUAUAUUAAUAUUUGUGUGUGUAUUUCAAAGUCUGGCUGUUUUCAAGGGUCUGCUCUGCAGCACAAGGGUCUGAGUCAACAUAGUAUAAAUCAUUGGUUUAUUCAAUAAACAAAAUAGUGAAAGGAUAAAUUGAAUUUCUCCAGUUUCAGUCACCAGUUCUUGAUCUCUGGGGGAUACUCACCUAAUAUGUUAGUUAUGGAGCUAUGAAUAUGAUGUGCAGAUACAUCCUUGCUUGGGUUUAUCUACCUUGACCUUAUCUACCCUAAGAACUGAAGUGUUUAAAUUCUGGUUGAGAAUUGAAGCAGGUGAUUAGAACUAGAUGAUCUUUGAGGGCCCUUUCAACCCAAGCCAUUCUAUGACUCUUUGAAAGAGGAACUGUAGAUAAGUUCACUCAAUUUCUGUUCCUAAGUCCUUAGCUGUUCUCUGGAUGGAUAACAGGAUUUUUUAGGCACAGCAUUGCAUUCUCUACCAUCUUUGCUCUUUUCCCAAAAUAUUUCUGACUCAGUCAUCUCCUGCCUACACAGCGAACUUUUGCGCCCCCUGACUUAGGCUGAAUUGGUUUCUCUUUAUGUACAAACAGGACUGCUUUUUCUUUCCUGAUUUCAUAAUUGCUAUUUCUAUUGGUUUGCUUCUUUUAGUUUUCAAUUCUACUUCAACUUGACUAUGAAGAUUAUCAAGAAAUAAAGCAUGAUUCACAUCUACACAUAGUUUACGACCUUUAGAUUCAAGCCCCUUUAUAUAAACUUGCAAAUACGAAAGGAUACGUCAUAAGACCUUGUAGGCACCCAAACUGUCAGUGAAUUCAGCC
Molecule: long non-coding RNA, 27302 nt
Filed under: Gallus gallus (chicken)
Lineage: Eukaryota; Metazoa; Chordata; Aves; Galliformes; Phasianidae
Description: lncRNA (ENSGALG00010011284.1)
Source: RNAcentral